RNAcentral lists this ribosomal RNA (323 nucleotides) under Cyrpoptus suavis. RNAcentral describes it as "SSU rRNA". It matches the Rfam family "Eukaryotic small subunit ribosomal RNA", at positions 160 to 454 of the family's 1831-position model. Lineage: Eukaryota; Metazoa; Arthropoda; Insecta; Hemiptera; Fulgoridae. The record is from RNAcentral.
AGAGCUAAUACAUGCAAACAGAGUCCCGACCGUAAAUGGAAGGGACGCUUUUAUUAGAUCAAAACCAAUCGACGUCCGUCUGCUUUCGGGUCGACGGCGCCGUACUCCUUGGUGACUCUGAAUAACUUUUGGCAGAUCGCACGGUCCCCGAACCGGCGACGCAUCCUUCAAAUGUCUGCCUUAUCAACUGUCGAUGGUAGGUUCUGCGCCUACCAUGGUUGUAACGGGUAACGGGGAAUCAGGGUUCGAUUCCGGAGAGGGAGCCUGAGAAACGGCUACCACAUCCAAGGAAGGCAGCAGGCGCGCAAAUUACCCACUCCCGG